Molecule: ribosomal RNA, 466 nt
Filed under: uncultured Glomus
Lineage: Eukaryota; Fungi; Glomeromycota; Glomeromycetes; Glomerales; Glomeraceae
Description: SSU rRNA
Rfam family: Eukaryotic small subunit ribosomal RNA
Source: RNAcentral
AGCAGCCGCGGUAAUUCCAGCUCCAAUAGCGUAUAUUAAAGUUGUUGCAGUUAAAAAGCUCAUAGUUGAAUUUCGGGAUCAGUACGCUGGUCGUGCCUUCGGUAUGCGCUGGUUUCACUGAUUCCUCCCUUCUGAAGAGCCGUAAUGCCAUUCAGUUGGUGUGGCGGGGAAUCAGGAUUGUUACUUUGAAAAAUUAGAGUGUUUAAAGCAGGCUCGCGCUUGAAUACAUUAGCAUGGAAUAAUGAAAUAGGACGUUUGAUCCUAUUUUGUUGGUUUCUAGGAUCGACGUAAUGAUUAAUAGGGAUAGUUGGGGGCAUUAGUAUUCAAUUGUCAGAGGUGAAAUUCUUGGAUUUAUUGAAGACUAACUACUGCGAAAGCAUUUGCCAAGGAUGUUUUCAUUAAUCAAGAACGAAAGUUAGGGGAUCGAAGACGAUCAGAUACCGUCGUAGUCUUAACCAUAAACUAU